This 422-nucleotide ribosomal RNA is filed under the name uncultured bacterium. RNAcentral's name for it is "bacterial SSU rRNA". It matches the Rfam family "Bacterial small subunit ribosomal RNA", at positions 355 to 774 of the family's 1533-position model. The record is from RNAcentral.
UGAGGAAUAUUGGGCAAUGCCCGCAAGGGUGACCCAGCAAUGCCGCGUGGAGGAUGAAUGUCGUAAGAUUGUAAACUCCUGUUAGAGGGGAAGAAUAGUACCGGUUGGACCGGUAUAUGACUGUACCCUCAGAGAAAGCCCCGGCUAACUACGUGCCAGCAGCCGCGGUAAUACGUAGGGGGCAAGCGUUGUCCGGAUUUACUGGGUGUAAAGGGCGCGCAGGCGGGAUAAAAAGUCAGUGGUGAAAUCCUACAGCUUAACUGUAGAACUGCCUUUGAUACUUUUAUUCUUGAGUUCGGGAGAGAGAGACGGAAUUCCAGGUGUAGUGGUGAAAUACGUAGAUAUCUGGAAGAACACCAGUUGCGAAGGCGGUCUCUUGGUCCGACACUGACGCUGAGGCGCGAAAGCGUGGGGAGCAAACA